RNAcentral lists this long non-coding RNA (655 nucleotides) under Hordeum vulgare. RNAcentral's name for it is "long non-coding RNA (HVUL_LNC000293)". The record is from RNAcentral. Lineage: Eukaryota; Viridiplantae; Streptophyta; Magnoliopsida; Poales; Poaceae.
UUCCUCUUGACAGUUCCUUCUGCACCCGAUGCAAGAAGAAACAUUAGUAAAUCUGGACGUGACAACAUGGUAGGGAGAGAGCCAUAAAAUUAUAUGCAUGAAUUUGUACCAGAAGACAUGAGAGAGACUUGUGAACAAAAAUUUCAUGCCCGUUUCUGUACCCCGCCGCGUCUUCCUUCGUUGCCGAAACCAGCUAUAAUCGUUCUUCGUGUGCUUCCAAAUUCAUCGGCCAGAAAGCGAUGUUGAUGGAUCAAUCUUCAAUAUGCCUGCAAAAAUAUUGCGGGCAGAGCGAUGAGUUUUCUAGGGAAGUGAUAUACAUGAAGGAUAGAAGGAAAGAAACAUAUUAGCUAUUGAGAAAUGAAGAUGCCACUGGAAAGACAUGGGCGUAUGGCGAGGAGGAAAAACGGGGAGAGCGUCAGAUGACCGAUCGAUUUGGGCAGGGCCGCAGGAGCUAUGGCGAGAAGGAAGAUUGGAGAGACAAUCUGAUAUCCCAUUGAUUGGGGAUUCUGCAUGUUUUAGUUUUCUUUGCCAUCUUCGGAUGAGUUUAUGAAGGAAUAGGCUCUCCCGUGAUACAAUGGCAUGGACUUCAUGAGAAACUUGAUCCAACGAUUGUAGAUGACAGGGAGAUCUGAUGGGUAAUUCUGCAAGAUUUUCU